This 255-nucleotide ribosomal RNA is filed under the name uncultured bacterium. Its description in RNAcentral is "partial 16S ribosomal RNA". It matches the Rfam family "Bacterial small subunit ribosomal RNA", at positions 524 to 777 of the family's 1533-position model. The record is from RNAcentral.
UACGAAGGGGGCUAGCGUUGUUCGGAAUCACUGGGCGUAAAGGGCGCGUAGGCGGCCGAUCAAGUCGGGGGGUGAAAGCCUGUGGCUCAACCACAGAAUUGCCUUCGAUACUGCGGGUCUCGAGUCCGGGAGAGGUGAGUGGAAUUCCUAGUGUAGAGGUGAAAUUCGUAGAUAUUAGGAAGAACACCAGUGGCGAAGGCGGCUCACUGGCCCGGUACUGACGCUGAGGCGCGAAAGCGUGGGGAGCAAACAGGG